Molecule: long non-coding RNA, 341 nt
Filed under: Androctonus crassicauda
Lineage: Eukaryota; Metazoa; Arthropoda; Arachnida; Scorpiones; Buthidae
Source: RNAcentral
AUGGGACCCCCCAAGUAUCUCGUGUGUGAGGGUCCCAGGAUUUGUCCCAGCCCCACCCUCUCCUUCAGCCACAUUGAUGGCAGAGGCAGAGAAGAUCAGAACAUGCAGCCCAUUCUGACUGGAGAGGAAAACUUGUCAUCUGGCUUUGCGGAGAAGGUUCCACCUUACGCUCGUAGUACAUUAUCUUUACUAUGUGCUAGGAUAUCAUAUUUAAAAGGACAAAAAAAUGUAAAAUACUUGAAUGAGCUUGUAUUAUAACAUUAAUAUUAUUGAGAGUGUCUGCUUCCCAGGCUGAAGUGAUUCAUUCAUUAUUCUGGUCCUGCUCUAGUCCUUUGUAAUUG